This 1089-nucleotide long non-coding RNA is filed under the name Heterocephalus glaber (naked mole-rat). Its description in RNAcentral is "lncRNA (ENSHGLG00000033296.1)". Lineage: Eukaryota; Metazoa; Chordata; Mammalia; Rodentia; Bathyergidae. The record is from RNAcentral.
CUAGCAGUUCCGACACUCCCAGGGCAAGACCCCUCCCUCCUCCACAGGUGUCCCCAAAGUCUGGGCUCCCCUUCCCAUCCUUGGCCAAGGUUCACUUGUGAGCCCCAAAACCAGGCCCAUGUGGGAGCUGGAUCUCCCAAAGUAGGGUUUGCUCCCCAGACAGCACUGCACAUCUCCUCAGGCUGCUUCUGAGUCUUUCUGUUAAAUCAGAUACCUACUUGAUUUUUAUAAAUGUUUUUUGUCACCCUUUUUAGUACAAGUAAUAGGAAGCAUCAUUUUUGCUUUGUUUUUGUGUAUCAGGGUCUUUACACUGAGCUACAUCCCCAGAGGCAUUUUUUUUUUUUCCAGUACUGGGGACUGAACUCAGGACCUUGCAUUUGCGCUCAGUCUCCAGAACCACUGAGCUAAAUCCCCAGCCCCACCAGAGGCUUUUUUUUUUUUUUUGUACAGGGGAUCAAACUCAGGACCUUGGGCUUGCAGGGCAGGCAUGGUGCCUCUGAGUUAAAUCCCCCAGCCCCUUUAUUUUUUAUUUUGAGACAAGCUCUUGCUAAAUCACUAAAUUGCCCACAGGCUAGGCUCAAAGUUGUAAUCCUCCUGCCUCAGCCCCACAGAGUGCUGAGAUUACAAGCAUGCACCACCAGGCCUUGCUAGGAAGCAGUUUUCUUGUUGUUGUGUCUGUGCUGAUGAUGGUGACUUAACCCCCUCUGUACUGGGACUUGAACUCAGGACCUCACACAUACUCAGCACAUGCUCUACCACUGAGAUACUCAUCCACCUCCAGCCCAUGGUGGUGAUUGUUUUGUUUGUUUUUUAAAACAGGGUCUCAUUAUGUAGUUCAGGCUGGCCUUGAACUCAAGAACUCAUGGCAAUCCUCCUGAGUGCUAGGAUUAUAGAUGUGCACCACCACACCCAGCCAGAGAGCCUUUUUGAAGGAACAACUGACAAGACAAAAUGACUAAGUAGACAAGACCCAAGGAUGACCUAGAGUUCCACAUUUUUAAGAAACUUUACAUCUCUACUCUGAAACUUCAUGCAUGGAUGAAUGUACAAAUAAUAGAGAAAUAAGGACAACAGGAAAUGGAAAGAUGG